RNAcentral lists this ribosomal RNA (253 nucleotides) under uncultured bacterium. RNAcentral's name for it is "partial 16S ribosomal RNA". It matches the Rfam family "Bacterial small subunit ribosomal RNA", at positions 524 to 776 of the family's 1533-position model. The record is from RNAcentral.
UACGGAGGGUGCAAGCGUUAUCCGGAUUUACUGGGCUUAAAGGGUGCGUAGGUGGGUCUGUAAGUCAGUGGUGAAAUCUCCGAGCUUAACUCGGAAACUGCCAUUGAUACUAUAGGUCUUGAAUAUCCUGGAGGUAAGCGGAAUAUGUCAUGUAGCGGUGAAAUGCUUAGAUAUGACAUAGAACACCCAUUGCGAAGGCAGCUUACUACGGGAUCAUUGACACUGAGGCACGAAAGCGUGGGGAUCAAACAGG